Molecule: long non-coding RNA, 299 nt
Filed under: Astyanax mexicanus (Mexican tetra)
Lineage: Eukaryota; Metazoa; Chordata; Actinopteri; Characiformes; Acestrorhamphidae
Description: lncRNA (ENSAMXG00005021451.1)
Source: RNAcentral
GGUGGGGGUGCCCUGGGCAGAGAGGGAGGGGAGAGACAGAGUGUGUGUGAGAACAGGAAUAGAGUGUGUUCACUGCACUGUCAGAACUGUCGUCAGGGACAGCAGAGGAGAACUUUCAUCUCAGAGGUCUCUGGGUCCUGCGCUACAGCUGCAGAUCCUGUAAGUGAACAUUUACUCCUAGAACUUUUUUCUGUCAGUUCUGUCAUUCCUCAGCAGAUAUUGUCACCACUGUCAUAAUUGACUUUUUUAUAUCAUUUACAUAUAUAUUUUAAAUAAACAUUAAAAUUGUUUAUAUUUAU